UCCGUAGGUGAACCUGCGGAAGGAUCAUUACUGAGUGAGGGCCCUCUGGGUCCAACCUCCCACCCGUGUUUAUUAUACCUUGUUGCUUCGGCGGGCCCGCCGUCAGGCCGCCGGGGGGCUUCUGCCCCCGGGCCCGCGCCCGCCGAAGACAUCUCGAACUCUGUCUGAAGAUUGUAGUCUGAGUAUAAAUAUAAAUUAUUUAAAACUUUCAACAACGGAUCUCUUGGUUCCGGCAUCGAUGAAGAACGCAGCGAAAUGCGAUACGUAAUGUGAAUUGCAGAAUUCAGUGAAUCAUCGAGUCUUUGAACGCACAUUGCGCCCUCUGGUAUUCCGGAGGGCAUGCCUGUCCGAGCGUCAUUGCUGCCCUCAAGCACGGCUUGUGUGUUGGGCCCCGUCCUCCGAUCCCGGGGGACGGGCCCGAAAGGCAGCGGCGGCACCGCGUCCGGUCCUCGAGCGUAUGGGGCUUUGUCACCCGCUCUGUAGGCCCGGCCGGCGCUUGCCGAUCAACCAAAUUUUUAUCCAGGUUGACCUCGGAUCAGGUAGGGAUACCCGCUGAACUUAAGCAUAUCAAUAAGCGGAGGAAAAGAAACCAACAGGGAUUGCCCC
Molecule: ribosomal RNA, 606 nt
Filed under: Penicillium raistrickii
Lineage: Eukaryota; Fungi; Ascomycota; Eurotiomycetes; Eurotiales; Aspergillaceae
Description: eukaryotic LSU rRNA
Rfam family: 5.8S ribosomal RNA (bases 204-357)
Source: RNAcentral